CCGGCGCACGGGUGAGUAACGCGUAUGCAACCUACCUUAUACUGGGGGAUAGCCCAGAGAAAUCUGGAUUAAUACCGCAUAACAUAUUUGAAUCGCAUGGUUCGAAUAUUAAAACUCCGGUGGUAUAAGAUGGGCAUGCGUAGCAUUAGUUAGUUGGUAAGGUAACGGCUUACCAAGACAAUGAUGCUUAGGGGGUCUGAGAGGAUAGUCCCCCACACUGGUACUGAGGCACGGACCAG
RNAcentral lists this ribosomal RNA (239 nucleotides) under uncultured bacterium. RNAcentral describes it as "partial 16S ribosomal RNA". It matches the Rfam family "Bacterial small subunit ribosomal RNA", at positions 95 to 334 of the family's 1533-position model. The record is from RNAcentral.